Long non-coding RNA from Caretta caretta (loggerhead turtle), 516 nucleotides. RefSeq lists it as uncharacterized. The record is from RefSeq and is a predicted model, not a curated record. Lineage: Eukaryota; Metazoa; Chordata; Testudines; Cheloniidae.
UCGUCAGGUGGUGCACUGUGACUGAAUUCACUGUCGUCUUGUAGAACUCCCAGAUCUUGUGAUGCUGGAAGAGGCAGUUAUGUUAUGUUCUUUCCCCAGGAGUCUGCGAUGAUGGCAACAGACACACAAAUGACUGAGGUCUGCAUAACAAGCACUUCAGACAUCCACAGUUAAAGGGAACUCUUCAGAUGCUUGGAGCUGUGGACAGCUACAGGAUGAGGGCAGGGAACAGAGCGUAUGAAUGGAAUGGGACGGAACAGAACACAGAGGAAAGGUACAGCUCUGGCCUGUGAAAGGAGAAAGCAUCUUUUGGAAGAAACAAAGGGCAUGAGAAGGUGGGGAGAAAGCAGGUGGUGUAGCAGACUGCUGCUGUGAAGGACUUGAGCCAACCUACUUCUUUGCAUGCAUAAUUGUAAGAGGCGAUUCAGCUGGUGCAGGUAUCUUCCUUUUGAAGUGACACUCCAAAGGACAAUUAUCCUCCACUCUACCACUCCCCUGAAUUUGAAUUCAUGUGGA